RNAcentral lists this ribosomal RNA (252 nucleotides) under uncultured bacterium. RNAcentral's name for it is "partial 16S ribosomal RNA". It matches the Rfam family "Bacterial small subunit ribosomal RNA", at positions 524 to 776 of the family's 1533-position model. The record is from RNAcentral.
UACGUAGGUGCGAGCGUUGUCCGGAUUUACUGGGCGUAAAGAGCGCGCAGGCGGUCGUUCAAGUCGCGUGUGAAAGCCCCCGGCUCAACUGGGGAGGGUCACGCGAUACUGAUCGACUCGAAGGCAGGAGAGGGUAGUGGAAUUCCCGGUGUAGUGGUGAAAUGCGUAGAUAUCGGGAGGAACACCAGUGGCGAAGGCGACUACCUGGCCUGUUCUUGACGCUGAGGCGCGAAAGCUAGGGGAGCAAACGGG